Long non-coding RNA from Populus nigra (black poplar), 572 nucleotides. RefSeq lists it as uncharacterized. The record is from RefSeq and is a predicted model, not a curated record. NCBI's taxonomy places the organism in Eukaryota, Viridiplantae, Streptophyta, Magnoliopsida, Malpighiales, Salicaceae. The transcript is spliced from 2 exons.
ACCCGGCCGACCCGGGCCUGUGGCCGGGCCGGGUCUAAGCAAAAAACAGGUUGGGAAUUGGCCCGGCCAAACCCGGUCGACCCGGAGGGUCGACCCGGGACCCGGCCGGCCCGGCCAAACCCGGCUGAGACCCGGGUUUAUUUUUUUUUAUUCUCAUGCUCGAAACGACGUCGUUUUGACCUUUUACAAUUAAAAGGCCAAAACGACAAGAGUAGAGAGACGAAUCACGAAUGCAUUGCAUUGCAAAGCAGAGAAGUGAGAAGAAGACCUAAUUAAUUUCAAGAAUUUGUCAAACCCAUUUCACUCUUAGUCGCGAAGAAGAGCAGAUGAGCAGAAGAAUCUUGAAUCCUUGAUCGCCGUUUCAAUUCUGAGCAUAAGGAGAGUAUAACAGUGGCAUCGAUUCUUCCCUCUGUUCAGUCUGUUGACCCAUCGGUUCUUCCCUCUGUUCCCUCUGUUGACUCAUCGGUUCUUCCCAUCGAUUGACCCAUUGGUUCUUCCCACAGAUAUGUAUCUCUGCUCUUUUAUUUUUCUGUUUGAUUGGCCCAUCGAGAAUACAUGUUCUUCCCACCGUA